This 109-nucleotide ribosomal RNA is filed under the name Acanthosepion pharaonis. The record is from RNAcentral. Lineage: Eukaryota; Metazoa; Mollusca; Cephalopoda; Sepiida; Sepiidae.
ACAGCCACAUCAUGUUGAAACACCAGUUUGCAUACGAUCAACGAAGUUAAGCAAUGUCGAGACUGGUCAGUAACUAAAUGGGUGACCACUUGGGAAUACCAGUUGUUGU